GAAAGGGACGGCUAANUACGUGCCAGCAGCCGCGGUAAUACGUAGGUCCCGAGCGUUGUCCGGAUUUAUUGGGCGUAAAGCGAGCGCAGGCGGUUAGAUAAGUNUGAAGUUAAAGGCUGUGGCUUAACCAUAGUACGCUUUGGAAACUGUUUAACUUGAGUGCAGAAGGGGAGAGUGGAAUUCCAUGUGUAGCGGUGAAAUGCGUAGAUAUAUGGAGGANCACCGGUGGCGAAAGCGGCUCUCUGGUCUGUAACUGACGCUGAGGCUCGAAAGCGUGGGGAGCGAACAGGAUUAGAUACCCUGGUAGUNCACGCCGUAAACGAUGAGUGCUAGGUGUUAGGCCCUUUCCGGGGCUUAGUGCCGCAGCUAACGCAUUAAGCACUCCGCCUGGGGAGUACGACCGCAAGGUUGAAACUCAAAGGAAUUGACGGGGGCCCGCACAAGCGGUGGAGCAUGUGGUUUAAUUCGAAGCAACGCGAAGAACCUUACCAGGUCUUGACAUCCCGAUGCCCGCUCUAGAGAUAGAGUUUUACUUCGGUACAUCGGUGACAGGUGGUGCAUGGUUGUCGUCAGCUCGUGUCGUGAGAUGUUGGGUUAAGUCCCGCAACGAGCGCAACCCUUAUUGUUAGUUGCCAUCAUUCAGUUGGGCACUCUAGCGAGACUGCCGGUAAUAAACCGGAGGAAGGUGGGGAUGACGUCAAAUCAUCAUGCCCCUUAUGACCUGGGCUACACAUGUGCUACAAUGGCUGGUACAACGAGUCGCAAGUCGGUGACGGCAAGCUAAUCUCUUAAAGCCAGUCUCAGUUCGGAUUGUAGGCUGCAACUCGCCUACAUGAAGUCGGAAUCGCUAGUAAUCGCGGAUCAGCACGCCGCGGUGAAUACGUUCCCGGGCCUUGUACACACCUCCCGUCACACCACGAGAGUUUGUAACACCCGAAGUCGGUGAGGUAACCUUUUAG
This 959-nucleotide ribosomal RNA is filed under the name uncultured bacterium. RNAcentral's name for it is "bacterial SSU rRNA". It matches the Rfam family "Bacterial small subunit ribosomal RNA", at positions 486 to 1446 of the family's 1533-position model. The record is from RNAcentral.